This 76-nucleotide transfer RNA is filed under the name Paramuricea clavata. It matches the Rfam family "tRNA". Rfam says of the family: Transfer RNA (tRNA) molecules are approximately 80 nucleotides in length. Their secondary structure includes four short double-helical elements and three loops (D, anti-codon, and T loops). The record is from Rfam by way of RNAcentral. Lineage: Eukaryota; Metazoa; Cnidaria; Anthozoa; Malacalcyonacea; Plexauridae.
GCAUCUGUAGCUCAGUUGGACCUUAGAGCGCUGCACCGGAAUCGCAGGGCCGUAGGUUCAAUUCCUACCAGAGGAC